RNAcentral lists this ribosomal RNA (253 nucleotides) under uncultured bacterium. RNAcentral's name for it is "partial 16S ribosomal RNA". It matches the Rfam family "Bacterial small subunit ribosomal RNA", at positions 524 to 776 of the family's 1533-position model. The record is from RNAcentral.
GACAGAGGUGCCAAGCGUUAGGCGGAAUCACUGGGCUUAAAGCGUGUGUAGGCGGAAUUGUAAGUACCUUGUGAAAUCCCACGGCUCAACCGUGGAACUGCUUGGUAUACUGCUUUUCUUGAGCCACUUAGGGGCUGUCGGAACAAAUGGUGGAGCGGUGAAAUGCGUAGAUAUCAUUUGGAACGCCAAUGGUGAAAACAGCUCGCUGGGGGUGCACUGACACUGAGACACGAAAGCCAGGGGAGCGAACGGG